Molecule: ribosomal RNA, 787 nt
Filed under: Salmonella enterica subsp. houtenae
Lineage: Bacteria; Pseudomonadati; Pseudomonadota; Gammaproteobacteria; Enterobacterales; Enterobacteriaceae
Description: partial 23S ribosomal RNA
Rfam family: Bacterial large subunit ribosomal RNA
Source: RNAcentral
AGACCCGAAACCCGGUGAUCUAGCCAUGGGCAGGUUGAAGGUUGGGUAACACUAACUGGAGGACCGAACCGACUAAUGUUGAAAAAUUAGCGGAUGACCUGUGGCUGGGGGUGAAAGGCCAAUCAAACCGGGAGAUAGCUGGUUCUCCCCGAAAGCUAUUUAGGUAGCGCCUCGUGAAUUCAUCUCCGGGGGUAGAGCACUGUUUCGGCCAGGGGGCCAUCCCGGCUUACCAAUCCGAUGCAAACUGCGAAUACCGGAGAAUGUUAUCACGGGAGACACACGGCGGGUGCUAACGUCCGUCGUGAAGAGGGAAACAACCCAGACCGCCAGCUAAGGUCCCAAAGUCAUGGUUAAGUGGGAAACGAUGUGGGAAGGCCCAGACAGCCAGGAUGUUGGCUUAGAAGCAGCCAUCAUUUAAAGAAAGCGUAAUAGCUCACUGGUCGAGUCGGCCUGCGCGGAAGAUGUAACGGGGCUAAACCAUGCACCGAAGCUGCGGCAGCGACACUGAUGUGUUGUUGGGUAGGGGAGCGUUCUGUAAGCCGUUGAAGGUGGCCUGUGAGGGUUGCUGGAGGUAUCAGAAGUGCGAAUGCUGACAUAAGUAACGAUAAAGCGGGUGAAAAGCCCGCUCGCCGGAAGACCAAGGGUUCCUGUCCAACGUUAAUCGGGGCAGGGUGAGUCGACCCCUAAGGCGAGGCCGAAAGGCGUAGUCGAUGGGAAACGGGUUAAUAUUCCCGUACUUGGUGUUACUGCGAAGGGGGGACGGAGAAGGCUAUGUUGGCCGGGCGAC